RNAcentral lists this ribosomal RNA (494 nucleotides) under uncultured bacterium. RNAcentral's name for it is "partial 16S ribosomal RNA". It matches the Rfam family "Bacterial small subunit ribosomal RNA", at positions 28 to 507 of the family's 1533-position model. The record is from RNAcentral.
GACGAACGCUGGCGGCGUGCUUAACACAUGCAAGUCGAACGGUGAAGCGCCUUCCUUUUUGGUGGGUGUGGAUGAGUGGCGAACGGGUGAGUAACACGUGAGUAACCUGCCCCCUUCUUCUGGAUAACCGCAUGAAAGUGUGGCUAAUACGGGAUAUUCUGGGUCUGUCGCAUGAUGGGUCUGGGAAAGAUAUUGUUUCGGUGGGGGAUGGGCUCGCGGCCUAUCAGCUUGUUGGUGGGGUGAUGGCCUACCAAGGCGGUGACGGGUAGCCGGCCUGAGAGGGUGGACGGCCACACUGGGGCUGAGACACGGCCCAGACUCCUACGGGAGGCAGCAGUGGGGAAUAUUGCACAAUGGGCGCAAGCCUGAUGCAGCGACGCCGCGUGAGGGAUGGAGGCCUUCGGGUUGUGAACCUCUUUCGCCAGUGAAGCAGGCCUGCCUCGUUUGUGGGUGGGUUGACGGUAGCUGGAUAAGAAGCGCCGGCUAACUACGUG